UCUUCUUCCCCAGUCCAGGAAUUCCUACAGCUAAAAAGGAUUGAAACAAAAUAGAAAUAUUUUUGAGCAGACUAUAUGAUACAAUGUACUAAGAUUUAGAAUCUAGAUAAUUCCAAUCUAUGAGGUUAUAGAGCAAAAUAGUUGAUGAUUUCAAUGACUAUUACUAUUAUGCCUGUAAUUUAAAAAAUGUACUCUAUACAGUGGGUU
Molecule: microRNA precursor, 207 nt
Filed under: Chlorocebus sabaeus (green monkey)
Lineage: Eukaryota; Metazoa; Chordata; Mammalia; Primates; Cercopithecidae
Description: miRNA (ENSCSAG00000022029.1)
Source: RNAcentral